Transfer RNA from Ovis aries (sheep), 72 nucleotides. It matches the Rfam family "tRNA". Rfam says of the family: Transfer RNA (tRNA) molecules are approximately 80 nucleotides in length. Their secondary structure includes four short double-helical elements and three loops (D, anti-codon, and T loops). NCBI's taxonomy places the organism in Eukaryota, Metazoa, Chordata, Mammalia, Artiodactyla, Bovidae. The record is from Rfam.
UCCCUGGUGGCUCAGAUGGUAAAGAAUCUGCCUGCAGUGCAGAAGACUCAGGUUCAAUCCCUGGGUCGGGAA